UAAUAAGCAUUGACCGAAAGAGUAGUAAAGCGGCACCUAAAAAGCGAGAUCCUGAUAGUGAGAGAGGAUUAGUUAAACUUUAUGAAGGUAGUUCGGGAGCUGAUAUACUGAAAUUAAUAGUAGGUAUGUCCGGUUCAUUUACCGUUAUGAAAUGAUAAAGUGGAGUAUUUUAUACUCAAAUUAGGUGGUACCGCGAUGAUUCGUCCUAUCG
RNAcentral lists this non-coding RNA (211 nucleotides) under Limosilactobacillus reuteri. Its description in RNAcentral is "Lactobacillus reuteri T-box sequence". It matches the Rfam family "T-box leader". From Rfam's summary of the family: Uncharged tRNA acts as the effector for transcription antitermination of genes in the T-box leader family. T-boxes are found upstream of many aminoacyl-tRNA synthetase genes and some amino acid biosynthetic genes usually in Gram-positive bacteria. Lineage: Bacteria; Bacillati; Bacillota; Bacilli; Lactobacillales; Lactobacillaceae. The record is from RNAcentral.